CCUCAAGUAAACUUUUUUCACAUUGUCAUUAUGGGGUGUUGUGUGUAGAAUUCUGAGGAAAAAAAUGAAUUUAAUCCAUUUUGGAAUAAGGCUGCUGUAACAUAACAAUGUGGAAAAAGUGAUGCGCUGUGAAUACUUUCUGGAUGCACUGUAUAUAUAAAUAACAGACACGUAAUUUCCCCUUGGGGGGGUUGAUAAAGUUUAUCUAAUUUAAUCUAACUUUCUAGUCACAGUUCAUUAGAUGGUAAAAAACAAAGGUGAUUUGCAACUUAGAAAAGAAAGAGCUUAAUGACGCCCGAAUAGCUUUCAUCCGUCAUGCUAGAUGUGCUACACAGCUAAAGUGUUGUUACAUUACAGUUUCCUCCUUGGCUCAAGUGUUUCGUUGUUACGUUUUGAAUAUUAUCACCCAUUUUUUAUUAAAUGUUUUGUCUGUUUGAUGCGUUAUUGAAUAUUAUUUUGCAUUUCUAAUAAUUUAUCCAUUGGUUCUUGAGAAUAUGUGCCUUGUUUUAUUUAUGCUAAGCCUGAGGAGGGCAGAGCAGAGCCACAGUAUCAACAUCAAUGGUUUUUAUAAGUGUGUGGUGCUUCAGUUUGCAGGAGACAUGGGAUGAAGGUAUGAGGGAUGGGUGAUAUCAUGGAUAAUAUGCAUCGGUGCAAGAAAAAACUUACAAUUUGUAGAAACAUAACAGGGAGAUGUGUGGCUGUUAAGGAUGAGACUUGGACAUACUGGAUUGAAUUCAACAUUUGUAGUCAUGGCAAAACAUGAUAAUGGCACGUGUGAAGUAUGUAUGUGAUCAGAAAUGGUAAUGCAUAACGCAUAAAACAUGCGAUAAUUGUUUUCCCAAGUGCAGUAUCGAACAAGUAAGAAUAUUUAAGAAAAUGAUGUGGCAUACAAGAAGAUUUGGAGUGAGAGAAAUUUUAGGAGUUAAAAUUUGGUCAAGUAAGAAAUGUGGUGCGAUACGUGAAUUUUUAGUUAAAACAGGCCUGGGUGGGAGAAUCUGACUUUGCCAUACUCACCCCACAGUCCAGUAAAGAAGAUACAGUAGCAGUAAUGCACUGUCAAAUGGGAUGCGGAACUCCAUAAAUAACAAGACGUGCUUCAGUUCAGCAUUCUGUUUUGGUCAGUCAAGUCCUGUCCUGGUGUUUGUAACGAGUCAGAAUCACAACAACAUACCAAACUGAAGCACUGCAGUGUCUUCUGGCUGUUAAAAGACAAGGGGAGGGGCUACAGCUGCAACAUCAGCAGGCACCGCCCCCUAAGGCUCUGCAUAAAGAAAACAAAGCACAUUUUCUAAAGAACCAAUAAAUAUAUUAUUAAGAAAUACAAUAAUUAACUAACAAAAUAAUAUUUACUAAUUCAUCAAACAUAUUCAAGAGCACAUUUAAAAAAUAUUUAAGGACAACAAAAAGAAUUAAAAGAAAAGACACUUGAGCCAGAAAAAGACAAACACUGAUGCAACCCUUCAUUAACUGUCCUGCAUUAUUUGUUCAAAAUUGUAUGUGUGUUACUUUAUAAAACAAUUAUAGAAUUGUACAAACUGUGCAUUUUAAAAAUGUAUAUUACUGUAUUAUAUUAGAAAAUUAUAUAAACAUACUUACCAAGUUAUAUUUAUUAUCCUAAUAAAAAGAACUGAUAGAGUGAACUAAUUUGGGGUUGUCA
Erpetoichthys calabaricus (reedfish) is the source of this 1657-nucleotide long non-coding RNA. RefSeq lists it as uncharacterized. The transcript has 3 exons. NCBI's taxonomy places the organism in Eukaryota, Metazoa, Chordata, Cladistia, Polypteriformes, Polypteridae. The record is from RefSeq and is a predicted model, not a curated record.